This 638-nucleotide ribosomal RNA is filed under the name Bradyrhizobium sp. Its description in RNAcentral is "bacterial SSU rRNA". It matches the Rfam family "Bacterial small subunit ribosomal RNA", at positions 69 to 752 of the family's 1533-position model. Lineage: Bacteria; Pseudomonadati; Pseudomonadota; Alphaproteobacteria; Hyphomicrobiales; Nitrobacteraceae. The record is from RNAcentral.
GGCGUAGCAAUACGUCAGCGGCAGACGGGUGAGUAACACGUGGGAACGUACCUUUUGGUUCGGAACAACACAGGGAAACUUGUGCUAAUACCGGAUAAGCCCUUACGGGGAAAGAUUUAUCGCCGAAAGAUCGGCCCGCGUCUGAUUAGCUAGUUGGUGAGGUAAUGGCUCACCAAGGCGACGAUCAGUAGCUGGUCUGAGAGGAUGAUCAGCCACAUUGGGACUGAGACACGGCCCAAACUCCUACGGGAGGCAGCAGUGGGGAAUAUUGGACAAUGGGCGCAAGCCUGAUCCAGCCAUGCCGCGUGAGUGAUGAAGGCCCUAGGGUUGUAAAGCUCUUUUGUGCGGGAAGAUAAUGACGGUACCGCAAGAAUAAGCCCCGGCUAACUUCGUGCCAGCAGCCGCGGUAAUACGAAGGGGGCUAGCGUUGCUCGGAAUCACUGGGCGUAAAGGGUGCGUAGGCGGGUCUUUAAGUCAGGGGUGAAAUCCUGGAGCUCAACUCCAGAACUGCCUUUGAUACUGAAGAUCUUGAGUUCGGGAGAGGUGAGUGGAACUGCGAGUGUAGAGGUGAAAUUCGUAGAUAUUCGCAAGAACACCAGUGGCGAAGGCGGCUCACUGGCCCGAUACUGACGCUGAGC